RNAcentral lists this ribosomal RNA (398 nucleotides) under uncultured bacterium. RNAcentral's name for it is "partial 16S ribosomal RNA". It matches the Rfam family "Bacterial small subunit ribosomal RNA", at positions 361 to 776 of the family's 1533-position model. The record is from RNAcentral.
AUAUUGCACAAUGGGGGAAACCCUGAUGCAGCGACGCCGCGUGAGUGAAGAAGUACUUCGGUAUGUAAAGCUCUAUCAGCAGGGAAGAAGAUGACGGUCCCUGACUAAGAAGCCCCGGCUCACUACGUUCCAGCAGCCGCGGUAAUACGUAGGGGGCAAGCGUUAUCCGGAUUUACUGGGUGGAAAGGGAGCGUAGGUGGUGCGGUAAGUCAGAUGUGAGAGCCCGGGGCUCAACCCCGGGACUGCAUUUGAAACUGCCGUGCUAGAGUGCAGGAGAGGUAAGUAGAAUUCCUAGUGUAGCGGUGAAAUGCGUAGAUAUUAGGAGGAACACCAGUGGCGAAGGCGGCUUACUGGACUGUAACUGACACUGAGGCUCGAAAGCGUGGGGAGCAAACAGG